CCCGAGUCCUCUGUCCUUCUUCUUCUUCCUUCAAACUCGUACGGACACACACACAACUACACUAUUUCACCACAGAUCGAAGGAACUAAGGGCACAGUUGAGAUCGUGAGGUCGUGGGGAGCAAGAGCAUACCAAUAUCAGCUUGUAGUUGUGUUGGUGAGGUUCCAAGGAGCUUGGGAGUGCAUCAUUGGACGGAAUUGGACGUCGGAUUAGCCUGGUUCGAGUUUGACCGGUUUUGGUAAUUGGUGACAGGUGACACGUAUCCCGAGGACGAGCGGGCUCACGCGAGGCAGGGGGGCUACGACCCUUCCACAU
Molecule: long non-coding RNA, 315 nt
Organism: Pyrus x bretschneideri (Chinese white pear)
Lineage: Eukaryota; Viridiplantae; Streptophyta; Magnoliopsida; Rosales; Rosaceae
Exons: 4
Source: RefSeq, a predicted model, not a curated record